Molecule: ribosomal RNA, 446 nt
Filed under: uncultured bacterium
Lineage: Bacteria
Description: bacterial SSU rRNA
Rfam family: Bacterial small subunit ribosomal RNA
Source: RNAcentral
GCCCAGACUCCUACGGGAGGCAGCAGUGGGGAAUAUUGCACAAUGGGGGGAACCCUGAUGCAGCGACGCCGCGUGAGUGAAGAAGUAUUUCGGUAUGUAAAGCUCUAUCAGCAGGGAAGAAAAUGACGGUACCUGAGUAAGAAGCACCGGCUAAAUACGUGCCAGCAGCCGCGGUAAUACGUAUGGUGCAAGCGUUAUCCGGAUUUACUGGGUGUAAAGGGAGCGCAGGCGGCACGGCAAGCCUGAUGUGAAAGCCCGCGGCCCAACCGCGGGACUGCAUUGGGAACUACCGGGCUGGAGUGCCGGAGAGGUAGGCGGAAUUCCUAGUGUAGCGGUGAAAUGCGUAGAUAUUAGGAGGAACACCAGUGGCGAAGGCGGCCUGCUGGACGAUGACUGACGUUGAGGCUCGAAAGCGUGGGGAGCAAACAGGAUUAGAUACCCCAGUA